RNAcentral lists this ribosomal RNA (721 nucleotides) under Salmonella enterica subsp. enterica serovar Oranienburg. RNAcentral's name for it is "bacterial SSU rRNA". It matches the Rfam family "Bacterial small subunit ribosomal RNA", at positions 1 to 711 of the family's 1533-position model. The record is from RNAcentral. Lineage: Bacteria; Pseudomonadati; Pseudomonadota; Gammaproteobacteria; Enterobacterales; Enterobacteriaceae.
UUAAAUUGAAGAGUUUGAUCAUGGCUCAGAUUGAACGCUGGCGGCAGGCCUAACACAUGCAAGUCGAACGGUAGCACAGAGAGCUUGCUCUCGGGUGACGAGUGGCGGACGGGUGAGUAAUGUCUGGGAAACUGCCUGAUGGAGGGGGAUAACUACUGGAAACGGUGGCUAAUACCGCAUAACGUCGCAAGACCAAAGAGGGGGACCUUCGGGCCUCUUGCCAUCAGAUGUGCCCAGAUGGGAUUAGCUUGUUGGUGAGGUAACGGCUCACCAAGGCGACGAUCCCUAGCUGGUCUGAGAGGAUGACCAGCCACACUGGAACUGAGACACGGUCCAGACUCCUACGGGAGGCAGCAGUGGGGAAUAUUGCACAAUGGGCGCAAGCCUGAUGCAGCCAUGCCGCGUGUAUGAAGAAGGCCUUCGGGUUGUAAAGUACUUUCAGCGGGGAGGAAGGUGUUGUGGUUAAUAACCGCAGCAAUUGACGUUACCCGCAGAAGAAGCACCGGCUAACUCCGUGCCAGCAGCCGCGGUAAUACGGAGGGUGCAAGCGUUAAUCGGAAUUACUGGGCGUAAAGCGCACGCAGGCGGUCUGUCAAGUCGGAUGUGAAAUCCCCGGGCUCAACCUGGGAACUGCAUUCGAAACUGGCAGGCUUGAGUCUUGUAGAGGGGGGUAGAAUUCCAGGUGUAGCGGUGAAAUGCGUAGAGAUCUGGAGGAAUACCG